UAUUUCACUAGUGGGAUUAAGCUUGAUUUUCAUUCGAUUGUGGUGUUAUUCAAGGUUUGCUGCACUUGCAGUGACUCUGUGGAGCAUCCAGAUGUUUUUUACCAAUCUUUGCAAACCUUUUCUGUCUCAUGAGCCUCUACAUCUUUCUUCCGAAGUCCUUGAACCAUUCUUUUGAUCAGAUCUCAUCGCUCUAAAACAGAAUACUGUGCAGGGAUCCAAAAUUGGAUUAUUUUUUGAUAUUGUGCUGCAGGUCAGGAGGUUCACAUCAUUUUUCUAGUAAUGUUCACUGGCACAGCUUUUUAGUCUGCCUGUUCAUUAUAUUUAGUGUCAUUUUAUGUGUGUGUGUGUGUGUGUGUGUGUAACCGCCUGCCAAUAUACACUAUAAAAAUUCUGUUAACUUUAUGGUACAACAACUUUAUUGGCAGCCAUUCCCAUAAAUUCACUAAAGCUGACAUUAUGGAAUGGCAUUUUUUGAACCUGUAAAAUUCAGUUUAUAUCUAUAUCAUUAUUCAUAAACUAAUGUAUAGGCCUAUCUAUUAUAUGUUAUGAGGUACAUCCGCCUUCUUUGCAGUUGGAUCUUUGCAAUGCAAAAGUGGCCAGUUCCACCAAGUCAUCUAAAUCUGGACCACUGAGUGCCAAGUAAACCGUGCGUCUUCAAGGUUCCGCCCAAUGUGCCUAUAAUGCGAAUAUGGCUUCAUCUAUACCUGCAUGAUAAGGGAUAGUUUUUGAACAUUUUGUCAUGAUUUACCUGCCCUCAUGCUGUUUCAUGCUGUGUGAGUUUCUUUCUUCAGUUGGUGGUAGCCACUGACUUCCACAGUUUUCCAAGAAUUUAAUUCUUCAAAUUGUCGUCUUUUAUGUUCCAAAAAAAAAGAAAAAAAAAAAGAAGAAGAAGAAACCCACACAGGUUUGGAACAACUUGAAGAUAGGUAAAUGAUGACAGAAUUUUCCUUUUUAGGGUGAACUAUCCCAUUAGAGCAGCUCCAGAUUUAUCUAUGUUAAAAUUGCAUUUGUUGAGUCUGGCUUUUAAUGUUUAUGUAAACUGGGAGCUGAGCCAUGUUGCAUGUGUAUUUUAACUUUAUAUUAAAAUAACUUUAUAUUAUAUUUCUUAUAUAAUUAUUUUCAGAACUGUACAGCAAUUGGACAACUGUUGUUGUUUAAUUGGGCUUUAUUAAUACAUUAAGGUAGGCUUUUGGGAAUGUUUUUCAAUAUAAUGUCUUGUAUUUUACAGGUAAAAUUUACACAUUUGUCUUGUUAAAUGUAAUGUAAAUAUACAUUUUGGUAAGUUUAACCAGUGUACAGGUUUGUAUCUAUAUAUGCUCAAAACACUAAAAUGCCAAAAUCUAAAACCUAAAAGGUGACUUAAAGAUCUGAGAGGCGAAUUAUCUGUAGCAGAACUAGACAGGUGGAGCUGGGGGAGGUAGAGGGUUUCUGCAAGACUUGCUUACAGCAAACAUUAAU
Molecule: long non-coding RNA, 1458 nt
Organism: Cyprinus carpio carpio
Lineage: Eukaryota; Metazoa; Chordata; Actinopteri; Cypriniformes; Cyprinidae
Source: Ensembl